GGGAGGCAGCAGUGGGGAAUAUUGGACAAUGGGCGAAAGCCUGAUCCAGCCAUGCCGCGUGUGUGAAGAAGGUCUUCGGAUUGUAAAGCACUUUAAGUUGGGAGGAAGGGCAGUAAGCGAAUACCUUGCUGUUUUGACGUUACCGACAGAAUAAGCACCGGCUAACUCUGUGCCAGCAGCCGCGGUAAUACAGAGGGUGCAAGCGUUAAUCGGAAUUACUGGGCGUAAAGCGCGCGUAGGUGGUUUGUUAAGUUGGAUGUGAAAGCCCCGGGCUCAACCUGGGAACUGCAUCCAAAACUGGCAACCUAUAGUAGGUUAGAGGGUGGUGGAAUUUCCUGUGUAGCGGUGAAAUGCGUAGAUAUAGGAAGGAACACCAGUGGCGAAGGCGACCACCUGGACUGAUACUGACACU
Molecule: ribosomal RNA, 412 nt
Filed under: Pseudomonas oryzihabitans
Lineage: Bacteria; Pseudomonadati; Pseudomonadota; Gammaproteobacteria; Pseudomonadales; Pseudomonadaceae
Description: SSU rRNA
Rfam family: Bacterial small subunit ribosomal RNA
Source: RNAcentral